ACCUUUUUGUAAGGUAGAGUCCGAUGGCUGCUCGAUGACGGUCGAGGAGGGCCUGGCAAAAACUUCUUUGGAAUCCAAGUCGAACUGUAAUGAAGCAAUUUUUACGUGAGAUUUCAAGGCAACGAUUACAACAGUGUUCGAGUGUGUGUGUGUGAGUGUGUUUUGUACGGCUUAUAAAUCGUUUCGUGUUAUCGCAUCAUAUAGGGCACAUGAAAGUGCAAACAGCCGGCCAGCUGAUAAGAGUUCAAACUGCGAGCAGCGUCGUGCUGUGAUUUAUGGCAAGUGCAACAAUCGAUGCGCGUUUAUCGAUAAUAUUUCCACAUGCCUCCCAUUGCAGUACAGUUGUCUCCGAUUGUAAGAGUGGCGAGCGGGCUGCCAACUCACUUGAAAUGAAAUGUCAACAAGUCGUGGGAAAGGAAGCCAGGAAGAGAACAGAAAAAACUGAAAAAACUGAAAAAACUGAAAAGCCCUGACAAGGUCGAUUCAUAUCUGCAUUUGGUUAAACAAAAAGACACGAAUUAUGCAAAUUGCCUCGAAUCGUUUAUCAAGAACUCGUAGCAUUUACAUUAAUCAUCUAUUAGAUGGUAACAACGUCAUGCAUAUUCUGAUCAUGUGUGUGCUCUUGUCAGGACUGGCGAUAGCCAUGGGAGAGCAGCAACAGAUACGACGUCGCGACGACGACGAGGAGGGAUAAGGCGCAGAGCUGCGGGAAAACUUUCACAGCAACUUGGCCUGGCCGAGACCUGGGUCGGGCCGACGCCCCAAAGGCGCAAACAUGGAGCAUAUUUCAGUCUGGCAUGCGAUUAUCAGCUCAAGCUAGAGGAACUGCGAGUCCAAUGCAAAAUGUGUGUCAAAGUUCAAGCAUUGGAAACGUGAAAGGAAAACGGCCAACGGGAUGAUGAUGAAGUGCUGAAGCGCGGGGCAUUUGGCAUAAAGCAUUCAGCAUGCAGCAUGCUGCAUAGACCAUCGGGGGAAUGAGACAUGCGGUUGGUGUGAUAGCACCCACGUUCACCAUGAGUUAUGACCGCGGCAAGCAAAUAAUUGCAAAAUUACAACCCAGCUGCGGUUCCUCAUUCCCCUCCUUUACUUCCACAAUUUUUCUCUUUCAUCGGACUCGAACUCAAACUUUGUUUUGCACUCAACUGGCGUCUAAUAACACUAGACUGCCUCGUUUACGAUUGAAACCGGAAAAUCCGCAAUAUAUUAACAAUAUUACAAGAAUGGAAU
Long non-coding RNA from Drosophila sulfurigaster albostrigata, 1227 nucleotides. RefSeq lists it as uncharacterized. NCBI's taxonomy places the organism in Eukaryota, Metazoa, Arthropoda, Insecta, Diptera, Drosophilidae. The record is from RefSeq and is a predicted model, not a curated record. The transcript has 3 exons.